UUAUCAACAGUUUUAAUUUGACUCAAAAAAUGAACUGUACUGUAGAGAAAAUGGGUGAAAAAUCUAAAGUCAUGAUGACUUCUGAAUAUUAAAUAGACAGUUUGGUUUGUAACAGCGUUUCAUAGACAUACAAAUAUAUUCACAUGAUUAUAAGUGGCCCCCAUUAUCAGGUAGUGCAUUUUCAUUCAAGCUUCCUUGAAGGAUGGAACUGCUUUUCAUAUAGCACAACAUGGUACUAAUUACAGGUUGAUGCCUGUACGGUAUCUACUUAUACAACAUGGUACUAACUACAGGUUGAUACCUGUACGGUAUCUACUUAUACAACAUGGUACUAAUUACAGGUUGAUACCUGUACGGUAUCUACUUAUACAACAUGGUACUAACUACAGGUCGAUGCCUGUACUAUAUCUACUUAUACAACAUGGUACUAACUACAGGUCGAUGCCUGUACUAUAUCUACUUAUACAACAUGGUACUAACUACAGGUCGAUGCCUGUACUAUAUCUACUUAUACAACAUGGUACUAACUACAGGUCGAUGCCUGUACUAUAUCUACUUAUACAACAUGGUACUAACUACAGGUCGAUGCCUGUACUAUAUCUACUUAUACAACAUGGUACUAACUACAGGUCGAUGCCUGU
Oncorhynchus tshawytscha (Chinook salmon) is the source of this 641-nucleotide long non-coding RNA. The record is from Ensembl. Lineage: Eukaryota; Metazoa; Chordata; Actinopteri; Salmoniformes; Salmonidae.